Molecule: RNA transcript, 3634 nt
Organism: Triticum aestivum (bread wheat)
Lineage: Eukaryota; Viridiplantae; Streptophyta; Magnoliopsida; Poales; Poaceae
Exons: 3
Source: RefSeq, a predicted model, not a curated record
CUGAAGGAGCACCGCGUCAAUGCAGUUGUCUGUCAUAUUGCCGGGCAGAACCACGCUGUCUAUUACUUGUUGUAUUUGAGAUAGAUCGACUUUCAUUCUAAUCUAUUAAUUAUAACUUUUAUAUCAACGGACAACCUAAUUAACGGCCAAAUGUGUUUUCUCUCGCCACUGGAGUGUUACGGCGGCUUUGGUCGGUGCACACGUGCGCGGAGAUUGGAUGCCGGGGCGGCGACCAGGGGAAGCACAAACCCUAUCAAGCGGCGUGACACAUGCACCUAGUAUGUGUGAACGUGGGGAUGCUGAGUGAAAAAAGGAGAAGUACGAAUGAUGAUCCCAUAUUUUAGGUAUUGCAUGUGAUGCAUGCAUAUAUCAAGGGCAAUGUACGCUUGUUUUUUUCUUCCAAUAAACGCAUAUAUGCAUGCAUAUUGCAAGGCAUCAGCCCAUGUCUACGCUAGCUUUUUUUUAGAUUGACCACUCAUGCGUGCAUAUUGGGUCCGAGUACACGCACGAUAUUUUGUUUUUCUAGAUGAGAUUGGUCUAUCAUGCAUAUGCAUUUUGGUUGGCACGAGCCCAUGUCCCACCCCUGGUCCCACCCAUGCAUGUUAGCUUUUUUAGCCCAUGUCGCAUGUACGCCAGUUUUUUUAGAUUGAUGGCUCUUAGAUCUAAUCUGUUAAUUAUGUCUUUUAAGUUACGCGUCCACCAAAUUAACGGCUAGAUUUUCUAUUUUCUUUUGGUAAUUUCUAGUUUUUUGUGCGUCAGACGUGGUAGUUUUUUUGUUUUUUGUUUUGACGGAAGUGAGAUUUAGAAUAAGAGAUGUGGUAAAAAAAUAUUCUUUACAGGACAUGAGAUCUAGUAGUUUUUCCAGGAUUAAUCAGAUCCACCAGUUUUACAUGUAGUUACGUGAGAUCUUCUAGUAUUUAUUUAAAUUUAAAGGGACAUGUAGGUAGACAUAAGGUGUGUAUGUACAUGCUAAGGAAAGAUGCACUUUUUAUCUUAUUUACUUGUUUAAAUGGAUAUGUAGAUAGAUAUAAGGUAUGUAUAUUUCUUCUCAACUGCACGUGAUCUAUUUUUCCCUUUUUAGGGUACACAUACUCUAUCUUUAUUUUAGCAUUGAGCCACCGCAUGCACAGGCUAAAAGCUGCAGUUUUUUUUGAGAUGAAGCGCUCUUAGAUCUAAUGCAUUAGUUUUGUCCUUUUACGUUUUGGGCCCACCAAAUCAACGACCAGAUGUUUCUAAUUAUUCUGGUAAUUUCUAGCUUAUUUAUCUUUUUUCUGGUUAUCCGUCAAGCACUUUUUAUAAAUUAAAGGGACAUGUAGGUAGACAUAAGGUGUGUACGUACAUGCUAAGGAAAGAUGCACUUUUUAUCUUAUUUACUCUAGUUUAAAGGGAUAUGUAGGUAGAUAUAAGGUACUAGCGGGUAGUGCGCGGCGGCAUGCCGCGCCACAUGGACUAAUUAGCUAUUUAUUUAUUUUUUUAAUAUUUUGUAAGUGGUCCAAAGACAUUUUUUUGGCAAAGAUUAGUACAUUUGUGGUACAUAGGAGAGAGAUCGUGAUGCAGUAGUGCAUACAAGAAAAUGGUUCGUCUAGUUAGAGUUUUUGUUCUUUUCUUGGACCUAAAAUGUUGAUCAUCCGGUUAGAUGGGUGGUUUUAAGUUUGUGGAUGCACAUCUCGGCUCUCGGUGGAUUAGCAAGAUAUCUUGAAAUUGGAGGCAAAUUUUCUUGAAUAUCCUUAUUCGUCUUCAUUUGUCUCGUUGAAGGCUUGCUUUUUGUUGUUUUUGUAUUUAUAAUAACUCUUCUUUCUUGGUCUUUCUCCAUUCUUGGGCGGCCAAAUAGCUCUUAUACAUUGUCUUCAUAGCAUUGUAGUUGUAGUCAUCGAUGACUAUAUUGGGAAGAUUGCAUAGAUGGUGGACAACGUGUAAUGCCUGGCCGCACGCCGCGCCAUCUUUUUUUAAGGUUUGGUAGUAGAAUUGAGUUGCAAUAUAGUGGUUCAUACAGAGAAGGGUAACAUGUGAUUUACAUUGUCUACUACAAUGCCGUUGAUUCAUGCUUCGGCGAUGUAAUAAGCAUGUGAGGACACGUACUCUCUCACUCAGCUAGCUACAUACUUGUGGCGCACCUGCUCCGCUCACCCUCGGCACGUGUCUCACCAACAGUCAAACAAAGCAGAGGAAGGGGGAGAGAGGAGCAGAGGCAGAGGAAGGAGAUGAGAGGUCAGCUGGCCAUGGAUGGCAGUGGUGCCAAGGCGGGCUAUGCACACCACCACGGCACCGCCACUCGAGGCCUUUAGCCGCACCGUCGAGCUGUGCAACUUCGGCAUCGGCCUCGUCGCCGGCUUCCUCCUCGUCACCUGCGCCUACUUCUCCAACACCAAGUUCGACGCCAUCCACAUCGCCCGGCUCAAUUGCCUCGCCGGUGGGCACUGAUGGCUCGAAGCGCCAAUUAGAUUUGGGCAUGUCGGGGCAGGACGCAACAUUGUCCAUGGACGGAGCAAGGGCGAGGUGCUGGACACGGACGGUGAGGACGACAGAAGCAACCCCUCCUCGGCGUAAGGUAGGCAACAAACCAUUUGAUUAUUACUGUCAUGCACCGGCCAUGGCCAUGGCUCGAGCUGCAGCGGCCGCCUGCCGCGCCUUACCCAUGCACUUUGGGGAAAAGGUGAGAGCAAACUGUAUACUGACAUAAACAAUCAUAGCUAGGAUGAACAUUAUUCGGAAGUGUCAACACUCACCAAGAGUUUCAAGUGAAUCUAAAGCCACAGAUGUUUGAACAUAUGCCUUUACUGAAUGGAUGAACUCUGUCUGGAAUUCCCCUGCAAGUAGUACAACUCUAGUGUUUCAGACAAUGAUAAAUCAUUAAAUCAAACCAAACUGAAAUUUGAGACGCUUAAAAAAUCACAUACCUUAAGUAGAAUGGAAAAAAAUGUAAAGGCACAUAUAGUGUACUUGUGAAACUAUUUUCAGCUCACCUGUCCUACCUAAACCACAAACGGAAAAAUGUAAUGAAAAUCCACCUUCCAUUAGAAAGAAAAGGAUGUAGAUGAAAAUUCUAAAUCUGUAAUGAAAACAUAAAUAGACGAAAGUUCCUCGCAACAACUGAGCAAGAUUGCAAGUAUGCAUCAUGAAAUUUAUCUUGUGUACUUGUGCCAACAAAUAAACUACAAUACACAACCAAAACUUGGGUGGUAAUAUACCAUGUCGAUGCAAACUUGCAUCAAUUAGUCUAGAUAACCAGAAGUAACAAUGCAGUGCUCCUAAUAGAACCGUGGAAGCCAGCCUAUAUGGUCCCUUGCUCCUUUGUUCAUUUAUUGUAAAAUUCACUUUUAAAAUAAAAAACAUUAAUAUUGAUUCCUGUAGGUGUCAAUAAUGAAUGGUUUGAAAACUGCAAAAACAGUACACUCAAGUGAUUGUGAUGCGGAUAAUUCAGAAGAAGAAGCAGCACAAAUAAUGCCAAUUUUCACGAUCUUCCUCUUUUGAAGCCCGCAAACUGACAUGAUCAUUUGGAACAUUGGUCGAAGGACUAAGUAUCCAUGAAUUUGGAUGCCUUUCUCCGACGUUUGCUCAAAAUGGCUGGUCCAUCAAUCUUACAGCACAAAUCCUGUCACGGGUGCCUUGCAUUAGUUAUUUUGCGCCUGCUUGC